UACGAAGGGGGCUAGCGUUGCUCGGAAUUACUGGGCGUAAAGCGCACGUAGGCGGCUUUCUAAGUCAGGGGUGAAAUCCUGGAGCUCAACUCCAGAACUGCCUUUGAUACUGGAGAGCUAGAGUCCGGAAGAGGUGAGUGGAACUGCGAGUGUAGAGGUGAAAUUCGUAGAUAUUCGCAAGAACACCAGUGGCGAAGGCGGCUCACUGGUCCGGUACUGACGCUGAGGUGCGAAAGCGUGGGGAGCAAACAGG
RNAcentral lists this ribosomal RNA (253 nucleotides) under uncultured bacterium. Its description in RNAcentral is "partial 16S ribosomal RNA". It matches the Rfam family "Bacterial small subunit ribosomal RNA", at positions 524 to 776 of the family's 1533-position model. The record is from RNAcentral.